UGGGGAAUAUUGGGCAAUGGGCGCAAGCCUGACCCAGCAACGCCGCGUGAGGGAAGAAGGUUUUCGGAUUGUAAACCUCUGUCGCAAGGGACGAAACAAAUGACGGUACCUUGUGAGGAAGCCCCGGCUAACUACGUGCCAGCAGCCGCGGUAAUACGUAGGGGGCGAGCGUUGUCCGGAAUUACUGGGCGUAAAGGGUGCGUAGGCGGUUGCUUAAGUUGGAUGUGAAAUACCCGGGCUUAACUUGGGGGGUGCAUUCAAAACUGGGCAACUAGAGUUCAGGAGAGGGAAGCGGAAUUCCUAGUGUAGCGGUGAAAUGCGUAGAUAUUAGGAGGAACACCAGUGGCGAAGGCGGCUUUCUGGACUGACACUGACGCUGAGGCACGAAAGCGUGGGGAGCAAACA
Molecule: ribosomal RNA, 405 nt
Filed under: uncultured prokaryote
Description: bacterial SSU rRNA
Rfam family: Bacterial small subunit ribosomal RNA
Source: RNAcentral